This is a small nuclear RNA of Myotis lucifugus (little brown bat), 103 nucleotides long. Lineage: Eukaryota; Metazoa; Chordata; Mammalia; Chiroptera; Vespertilionidae. The record is from Ensembl.
GUGCUUCGGCAGCACAUAUACUAAAAUCGGAAUGAUACAGAGAAGAUUAGCAUGGCCCCUGAGCAAGGAUGACACGCAAAUUUGAGAAGUGUUCCAUAUUUUA